AGCAGCCGCGGUAAUUCCAGCUCCAAUAGCGUAUAUUAAAGUUGUUGCAGUUAAAAAGCUCGUAGUUGAAUUUCGGGAUCAGUGGGUCGGUCGUGCCACUGGUAUGCACUGGCUCUACUGGUUCCUCCUUCUUGAAGAACUGUAAUGCCAUUAAUUUGGUGUUGCAGGGAAACAGGACUGUUACUUUGAAAAAUUAGAGUGUUUAAAGCAGGCAAUCGCUUGAAUACAUUAGCAUGGAAUAAUGAAAUAGGACGUUCGAUCCUAUUUUGUUGGUUUCUAGGAUUGACGUAAUGAUUAAUAGGGAUAGUUGGGGGCAUUAGUAUUCAAUUGUCAGAGGUGAAAUUCUUGGAUUUAUUGAAGACUAACUACUGCGAAAGCAUUUGCCAAGGAUGUUUUCAUUAAUCAAGAACGAAAGUUAGGGGAUCGAAGACGAUCAGAUACCGUCGUAGUCUUAACCGA
Molecule: ribosomal RNA, 459 nt
Filed under: uncultured Glomus
Lineage: Eukaryota; Fungi; Glomeromycota; Glomeromycetes; Glomerales; Glomeraceae
Description: SSU rRNA
Rfam family: Eukaryotic small subunit ribosomal RNA
Source: RNAcentral